Molecule: ribosomal RNA, 301 nt
Filed under: uncultured bacterium
Lineage: Bacteria
Description: partial 16S ribosomal RNA
Rfam family: Bacterial small subunit ribosomal RNA
Source: RNAcentral
CAGUCGCCGCGGUAAUACGGAGGGUGCAAGCGUUAAUCGGAAUUACAGGGCGUAAAGCGCACGCAGGCGGUCUGACAAGUCAGAUGUGAAAUCCCCGGGCUUAACCUGGGAACUGCAUUUGAAACUGUCAGGCUGGAGUCUUGUAGAGGGGGGUGGAAUUCCAGGUGUAGCGGUGAAAUGCGUAGAGAUCUGGAGGAAUACCGGUGGCGAAGGCGGCCCCCUGGACAAAGACUGACGCUCAGGUGCGAAAGCGUGGGGAGCAAACAGGAUUAGAUACCCGUGUAGUCCCUGUCUCUUAUAA